RNAcentral lists this ribosomal RNA (130 nucleotides) under Photorhabdus luminescens subsp. mexicana. RNAcentral describes it as "Photorhabdus sp. MEX47-22 partial 16S ribosomal RNA". It matches the Rfam family "Bacterial small subunit ribosomal RNA", at positions 1 to 121 of the family's 1533-position model. The record is from RNAcentral. Lineage: Bacteria; Pseudomonadati; Pseudomonadota; Gammaproteobacteria; Enterobacterales; Morganellaceae.
UUUAAUUGAAGAGUUUGAUCAUGGCUCAGAUUGAACGCUGGCGGCAGGCCUAACACAUGCAAGUCGAGCGGUAACAGAAAAGCGCUUGCGCUUUUGCUGACGAGCGGCGGACGGGUGAGUAAUGUCUGGG